UACGUAGGGUGCGAGCGUUAAUCGGAAUUACUGGGCGUAAAGCGUGCGCAGGCGGUUUUGUAAGACAGAGGUGAAAUCCCCGGGCUCAACCUGGGAACUGCCUUUGUGACUGCAAGGCUAGAGUGCGGCAGAGGGGGAUGGAAUUCCGCGUGUAGCAGUGAAAUGCGUAGAUAUGCGGAGGAACACCGAUGGCGAAGGCAAUCCCCUGGGCCUGCACUGACGCUCAUGCACGAAAGCGUGGGGAGCAAACAGGAUUAGAUACCCUGGUAGUCCACGCCCUAAACGAUGUCAACUGGUUGUUGGGUCUUUGCUGACUCAGUAACGAAGCUAACGCGUGAAGUUGACCGCCUGGGGAGUACGGCCGCAAGGUUG
RNAcentral lists this ribosomal RNA (372 nucleotides) under uncultured prokaryote. Its description in RNAcentral is "bacterial SSU rRNA". It matches the Rfam family "Bacterial small subunit ribosomal RNA", at positions 524 to 896 of the family's 1533-position model. The record is from RNAcentral.